Haemorhous mexicanus (house finch) is the source of this 10029-nucleotide long non-coding RNA. RefSeq lists it as uncharacterized. The record is from RefSeq and is a predicted model, not a curated record. The transcript is spliced from 4 exons. Lineage: Eukaryota; Metazoa; Chordata; Aves; Passeriformes; Fringillidae.
CUUCUCUGGGAGCACCCUACCCGACAUUGCAGAGAGAAAGCAGCCUGAAAUCAGGAGAAGGCCUCAGCAGGAGAGGGGUCCACUGUGCCAGGCCUUCAGUUUGACCCAACCUUCAAAGAGAUGUGGAGGUACUAAGGAAUUGGAGGACAAAAAUGGUGAAGAGUCUGAAGGGGAAGCCAUAUAAGGAAGAGAUGAAGUCACUUGGUCUCUUCAGCUUUGAGAAGAGACUGAAAGGAGACUUCAUUGCAGCCUCCUUGUGAGGGAAGAGGAGGGGCAGACACUGAUCUCUUUUCUGUGGUGACCAGUGAUAGACUCAAAGGAAUGGCCUGAAGCUGCAUCAGGGGAGGUUCAAGUUGGAUAUUAGGAAAAGAUUCUUCACCCAGAGGGUGGUUGGGUGCUGGAACAGGCUCCCCAGGGAAGUGGUCACAGCACCAAGCCAAGAAGCAUUUAGACAAUGCUCUCAAGCACAUGGUGUGAUUCUUGUGGUGGUCCUGUGCAGGACCAGGAGUUAGAUUUGAUGAUCCUUGGGAGUCAAGUUGGACUUGAUGAUCCUUGUUGGUCCCCUCCAACACAGCGUAUUUUAUUAUUCUAUUCUAUGAUUCCAUGAGGGUGAUGGCUGCUGAUCAAGAGACACAUAGCAGCAUCUCAUGGUACAAAAAUGACAUUGUAAAACAGUGCUGUGGUCAUCUGACCUUUCAUUGCUAUUUCCCAUAUGAGAAAAGAUACCUGAAUACAAAGGGAGGGUGUGCAUGUUGUAAACAAACCUGGAAAACAGGUUUUUGUUUUGACAACCCUGGCUCACUUCAGAGGACAAGUGUUGUAGAAGGGCAGCCUGGGAAGUCACAGCUGUUUGCAGAAAUUGGCAGGGAAUGGUGGUUUAGUAGACUCCUGGUUUUGCAAGGUUCAGAAAAUCCCACCUGAGCUUCUCAGAUUCUUCUACUGAGUGGUGAGAACACAGAGAACUCAAAACAUGGCAAAAUGGGCUUGGUACGAUUCAGGUUGAAGAAGAUGGUGCAGGAAUCCAGCACACAAAACCCCUUCAUUGGCCCUGCACAGCUGUCCCUGUCCUAGGGAGCAAAUACAGUGAUCACACAGCUGUAGGAAAUCAGCCUGGAAAAUCCCCAAGUUUUACUAUUCUUAACAUUUAACUAGAUUCUUAAUAAUCAUCAUUUGGCAAUUAUGUAUUUUGAUGGAAGCUGGUUUAUUAAAAUUAUUUUCAGUGGGAAAGUGUGUUACUCAGCAAAUCUUCCUCCAGUUGAAAGUUGCACAAGAGAAGGCAGACAUAGCAAGGAGAUAGUAGUGCAAGAAUGCUGUCCAAAUGACAGCAGCACCUGUCUGGGAAAUGAAAUCUUUUUAAGAGAUAAAAAUCUCUCAGGGGAAGUUCUAUAGGCAAAGAUCAGGACAAGGCUUCUAAUUCUGCCCAAAGAGUGGAAGACUGAAAGUAAUAAUCAGUAACCUGGAAAAAGCCAGUUCAGAUUUGUCAUCUGCCAAAGAAUCACAAGAGCACCAAACUCUUGCAUUUUGAGUGCCUUUAUCCACAUGGAACUCAGAAGCUACCUCCCACUCUUUGCACACAGAACACUAAGGGAUUAAGGCUCAUUUUCCAUAUUAAAUGGGGAUUUUUUUUCAAAGUCAUGAAGUAUUUUAUGUGGUGGAAGCAUUUCCAGCCCAAUUCCAAUGCUAGUAAAAAUUAAAGAAAUCAAAUAAAAUAAGAGAUAAUAUAAUGAAAUAAUAUAAGACAGGACAAGACAAAACACAUCUUUUCUGGGAAAGAAGAGAAAUCCAGUGAUCAAUACUGCAAUCAAAAGCCUCCAGUGUCAUUAGCACACUUAGUUUCAAACUUAUACCAACAAUAAUUCAGUGUCUCCUAAGUUUAAAGUCCACCUGUUCUGUAGUCCAAUGUUUGGAUCCAGGACCCAUGGACAGCACUAAACCCCACAGCAGAAACUCCUCUGUCUUCAGCAGGGUGUGGCACUGCAGAGCUCAUCAAGCUCCUGGCAGAGCAGCUAUGAGGCUGUGCUACCUUGGGAGGCAGCUGCAUGGAGCUCUCUGAGCUGUGGCUCUUCAAACCCAGCCUUGGUUUCACAGGACUCACAUCUGCAGUAGUUUCCUGGGAACCUCACAUAUGAUUUCUAAAACUGCCUGUAUGAAACAUGUUAAACCCAAAGUACCCAAACCUUGUGUUUUAAGAGGUAUUAACAUGUCAUGAUUUCCUCUCAUUAAAACCCCUUCACAAUGUUUUUCCCCAGUUAUGUCUCUCAUAACUUUCUGUGCUUUUUAAAUGUUCGGGUUCUUGUCGUUUCUGCUCUGCUUUAGCUUCUUAAACCAUCUGCUUCUGAAGUGCCUUUUUUCUGAGUAAAUCAACCCAAAAUUUAAAUAAGUAUUAAACAAUAAUUCACUGAAGAAGAUAGUAGUGGCAUUUUGACUCAAAUGUGAGUUUAUUUUCCAUAAUAAAAUAUGUCAAUAUUUAUCCUUACUUAAAGCAUAACUUUCUCAUAUAACGGAGCCAAUAUUAAGGGAACUAUCUAUCUUAGAAAUAUAUAAGAUGCCAUUUUUCAUUGUCUGGAGACUGCAAAGCUAAGAAAUAUUGUAUCUGCAGCUAUAUGAACAUAGCUCUUGAGAUAGCUUUGAUAGGGAGACAUGAGGCUUCUCCAUUAAUCAUUCUUUUACUGCUACUCAGUUUCAGUCAUUAACUUGUAGUGCCCAAAAGGCUUAUAGCACAGAGAAUUUGACUGCCAGUGUAAAAUCACCAAUAACAGCUCAGGCAUUUUAAAAGAUGUGUAGCAGUUGGUAGAUGUUUUUAAAAGCAGGAGCAGAAGGUAAAUAACUUAAAGGUUUUGAAACUUGUGAAACUGGUUAUAAAUUGUCAGUGUGAAUAUUGAUAAAAUUAUUACAGUACCUUUUAAAAAGAUGCUCACAUUCAAAGCCUGGCUGCUUUUCAACAGAAAUGAGAGUAGCAGUGGCCUUGAAUCAAAACCUUACAUCUCUGAGGCUUGAAAUAAUGAAAGAUUAAAAAUGCAGCUCUCAGUCUCCAUCUUUACUCUGUUCUAAACUUUGGAUUAACUUUGCCUGACAAAUUGAAGCUUUACAUUUACAGCUUGGCUAUCCAGGGAAGGAAAGGGUCAAAGCUUUGCAAAAGUUAUUGCUUCAUAGUUCUCAGGACAUUGGGGCAGAUACAUAAUUUUAUACAACUCUCUUUCUGAAUACUGAGUUCACCUUUUUUUUCAAAUGAAAUGAAAUCAUUGAAUUCAAAAACUGUAUUUUUCCACAUAUAUUCAAUCUUAUUAAAUUUUUUGUGCAUAACUAUCAAUGAGUUGGUACUAAUCUAAACACCCAGAUAACUAUUAUCACCUGCAUCAGAGAAAUGUAUCACCUUUUUCAUUUGCUGCCUGGCUAACAUACAGCUGAAAAUGGCAGUGCCAUUAUCAAAGGUGAAAUCCAGCUCUAAGGAGUGGUGGGCAAUAUUUAGGUGAUAUAAAACAAAAAUUAAAUAUGUUGAUAGCACUUUUAUCUUUUAAGACUUUUGCAGGAAAGGAUAGUGGUUGAAAAUUAUUCCUUUGCAUGGGAAUGGUCCUCAUUCUCUGUAAGGAUCAAAAUAGCUUAUAGGGACCACAUAGAUAAACCUGAAUUUCAGAGGCUGUGAACUCUGAAACACAACCUCAAUAAAAGCACAAAUAGCUCCAGAUGUCUUGAAAUAAAUCUAGAUUGUUCUGCUCCUGGCUACCGUUUCAAAUGGGCCAGCUUGGUGGCAAGGCCAACAGUGUAUGGUGAAUUUGAUUUUAAGGUGAAUGUUCUCCCUUUUUAACCUCAGUAUUUUGUCUGGAGACCUUCCUGCUGAUGGCUGUCUAGGGUAGAGAUUACAUUUCAAUCUGGUUAGAAGUGGAGACCUCAAAUGGCUGCCUCAUAGAAUAUGGAGCAAGAAACCUUUCACAGACAGGGAGAUGACAAAAUGCAGCUUAACUUUUACUACACCAGACAUCUGUCUGUUUUUCCAGGGUCCAUCGUAGUUUUAGAGUGCUUAAUGAAGACAUAUUUUCCAAUUACAUUUGAUUAUUUUGGAAUUCCAAAACUUUUUCCAGAACCAGUGUGACUCUGUGGAAAUGGGUACCGGUCCCAUAGUAAAUGGGGACACCAUCUUCCAACAGGUACACCACUGUCAACCACAGCAUUCUAUAACUCUCAGCUUCAUCUUUUAAUGGGGACAAACAUCCCUAUUUGCCCAUUUACCCAGUUUUCCUGAAGAAGCAACUAUUAAGGCUUAUUGCUUAUCUUCCUUGGAGUCUGGACUCCAUGCUCAGCAAAAAUCAUACUUCCAAAACUGCACAAAAGAGUGCAAUUUUUGAAGGUGGAUGAAUUCAGACUAGUCCUAUAGGCGCUCCCAGAGAUAAAAGAAAUGUCUCUGUUACAUUGCUGCAAAAGCAGCACAUAGGGUUCACUUUCCCUCAUUGUGGCAGAAAGCCUCUCAGCCCUCUUCACAGCUACACUGGUGCAUUUAGGAAGAUACAGACAACAACACACAACCAGACACACAUUUGUGAGCAUCCCACAGGUCAGCCUGACUGCCAGAUGUGGCACAUCUGCAGUACCUGGGGGAUCUCUGACCACAGCACAAGCUUUACCUUCUCCCUUGCAGACUCCAGACUGGCUGCACACAGCUCCUAAAGAGCAGAUUUGCUGAGGCUUUUUAAAGAGAAAUCUUUCAGCCCCAUGUGGCAGGGUGUAUGCCAGGUGUCACAUGCAGGAAGGGAAGCUGUGGUGGCUGUUUGGCACUGUCCUUCAGAGCCAGGCAAAGUGGGCCUGAGUGACAUCUCUGCUUCUCCCAGCACCUGAUUGCAACACGGGGAGCAGCACAGCAGAGCAGCACACAUUGGCCAAUGCCACUCAAAUCAGAGUGGCCCUCACAUUUUUGUGGUCUUGAUCUAUUCCUGACAGUGAUGGGACAUGGGGGAUCAGGGGAGAUUGCAGAGAUUUCAUCCCAAGCCCCACAUGUGGAGUGUGGGAAGGUCACACUGUACACACAUGUCCUCUGUAGUUCUGUGGCCAUGCAGGUCUCACUGAAGACAGCAACCUGUCCUCUUCCUUGUUCUGUGGUUCCUUCCACAGAAAUCUAACACUUUCUCUCUUAAUUCUUCAACAGUGUUGCACAUGGACCCCCCUCAAUUAACUAAUCUUACUUCUGAAGCUCCAAAUUUUAACCCCUUUUGCCAUCCUGGCAGAAAGCACAGGCAGUGCCAUAGUAAUCAUGGAUAAAUUAUUAUUAUUCAAAAUACAUUAUUAGCAGCAUAUACAGUAUAUAAGCAGAACAAAAUUCUUAUUUAAACACAUUAAGUUACGCCAGACCAAAGAAUGGUGGGAUCGAUCCAGGGUCACAGGAGGAGGGGGGUGACAUCCCUGGGAGGAAGGCAGAUUUUCACAAGUGGGAAAUGAGAUCCAGGAUAGACAUGCAGUUCUUAUUUUGGCAGCACUGUCUGGACAACCUGAGAGCAGUCAGGACAGCACUGCCUCUGCAGACUGUAUCAUCUUCCCUUCAAUAUAAAACAAAAAGCAGUGACCUCAGGUCCACUUAGACCUUACCUUUGGGUGGAAGAAGAGUCUUCUUACCUGAGAAUAUCAGUCAGAAAUUUUCCUGGGCAGUUGUUUCACUUCAAAAGUUUCCUUCUAAGACAAAAACCAAGUGAGAUCUUUUUAGAGGACAAAGCCAGUAAAAAGAUUAAAUGAGGUGAAGAAAGCAAAGGUUUAAGAAAGGUGUUAAAGCACGAACCCUUCUGACCUGUUUUCUUUCCCCCACACAGUUGGCGAUGUUUUGCUUUAGUUGUUCUGCUGCUAUGAGCAGGAUGCUUCAGCAAAAAUGAAGAGUUGUCAGAUCUGGCUUGGAAAUCAGGCAUAUGGCUAAAAAAGGCAUUGUCAUCAUACUGGAGAACUGUCUCAGAGAAGCAUUACCACAGUGAACAAGCUGUGGAGAGCAUUAGACAAGGGAACUGGUUGGUAUAAAGGAAUACAGGCUUUAAAGAAAAUCAAUCCUCAGCCCUUUUCAUUUUAAAAUGACAUGUAAAUUUAAUUCCAGGAGAGAUGUGGCUGAAUGAGCUGGUCAGAGAAACUUCACCUCUGAAAGCAGGUAAUUUUGGCAUGGGGUAGUGAAGACAGUGUUUCUCUUUCCUCAUCUUUUCAGCUAAAAACAUUAGAAAGGUAAAAGAUAUCAGAUCAGGUUAGUGCCCUGUGUGGAUUCUGCCAUUGGAAAUGGGCCUAAAACCUAACACUGUUGGGGACAAUCUGAGUUCAUAAUACAGAGGUGUUGUCACUCACCCCUUUUAUUGGGUAGAGACCUCUAAGAGUUGAGCUGAACAUUUCUGGUAUUCAUUGUUUCUAUUCCCCUCAACUGCAGAUCACCAGACCCUCUGAUAAAUGAGGCAAACCCUCCCUGGCCAUGGGUUAGCUCUGGGCACACUUCCUUGGUUAGGAGUGAGGAAGUUUCCACGGUGUGUGGAUGGCUCUAUGCAGAGGCUCAGCCCUUUGGUUUGUGGGUGGUGGUGAGGUACCAAGGUGCACAGAUCUUCCAGUGGGGUACCAAGGCUUUAAAUGCAAUGUGACGUGUGGUGACCUCCAUCAUGACUGACUUCUCCUCCCAGCAGUGUCUAAAGAGGUAUCCACAAUAACAGACAGAAACAGUUACACACAGAACUUGGUAAUGCUUGAUGAGCUGCAGGAUAACUCAUAUUUGUUAAGCCUGAGGGAUCUGGUUGUGUCUGAGGCCAGGACAGCAGGGGCCAGCUGUAUGUCCCAGUUUGCUAUCCAGCCAGAUCAUAACUGGGGCAGGAAGGGGAGUCCCCACCUUAAAAAGAGAAAACCCAGCACUAAGUAGGUGGCAUCCUGCCCCAAAACGAGGCAAGGGUUUCCUGAUCCCACCUCUUCAACAGUCAGGGGAACAGGGGCUGUGUUUGCUCACAGGAACAAGACACCCACUGGUGUUGGGCUCUGACAUCUGUGAACGAGGCAGAGAGGAGAGCACUCUGCUCUGAGUGCUCCCAGCCACCCACUCAGGAGAGCUCCCUCACAGCCCUGCGCUGCACCAGCACUGUGCUGGCCCUCUGGCCUCCCACCAUUAAUCCAACUAAAACCUUUGUAAAUAUCUUUUGGCACACAGCUUUGCAGACAAGCAAAUCUGAGCACAUUUGUAAAGUAAUUAACUUCCUUACAAAUUGCUUAGAUUUGCUUCUCUAAUCAUAAAAGCCACACAAUACAAAUAGCACUGGCUUUCUCAUUACAGAAAUGACCCUGUUGCUAUCCACAGUUGCCAUUCUGCUAGGCUAGGAUAUAACAAUUAGAAUUUAGAGUCAUAAUCAUCAUUCUACAUCCACCCCUCUCAAAAGUAAAUUUCUUGGGACAGAUCCCAGGGAGCAGGGGAACUGCUGUAAAACUGAAGCAAUGUCUUUGUGUUCAAAGAGUGAGAGAUCAGAAAUCUCUCUGCUGACUUCACAAACAGUUGACAUUUCUUUAUUAAUAGCUCUCACAGACCAAUAGCUUGUCAUCAGACUUGACUGUCAGUUACUGCAGAAAUCCUGUAAAGGGAAUCUCCAGCUUGAAAGAAUCAAUUAAAAAAUAGCCAGGUAAAGCAAUGGCUUUCCAAAGGCAAAAUACAGUGUGCAUGGCUUGAUUGAACUGAAAUGCAAAUAACUAUCUGGUUAAAAGGAAAUUAUGAAAACUUGAAACUAGAUUUUCAACCAUUCUUCUGAUUGCCUCUCAUAAGGGUUUUUAUUACAACACUUCAUUUAAGAGAAUUAUCUUUCUAGUAAAUGGUUGAAGUAAAGACUCAAAGUUUUGUAUUCAUGUGCCAGUUGCCUAGCAAAAAGCAGAAUUAAUAAAACGUGAUCUCCAUGUGAUUGCUGGUGGGUCAAUUUUUGCCAUGCUUAUUUCAGAGAAAUACAGCUUAUCUGCUUUCACUGAGCCUUGAGUUAUGUUAAGCUAAUAAAACCUUCGGUUCCUCUUCACAUAGACUUAAAAGAAAGGGUCCUGUUUGUGUUGUGCUCCUUGUACCUUUCUUCAGCUUCAAACUCAUGCUCUGUCUGUCAAAAAAAUUAUCUUUGGUAUAAAAACCAGUGCAACAUGUAUGAUUUAAAUUGCAUGACCAUGGCAGAAUAGUAUUCCUAAACUGAAUUUUACACUCUGAGCUGUUCUCAGCACGGGGUCAUUUCCAGUUUGCAACAUAUCAGAAAUACUCUGUUCAAACUGUUGUAUUACUAAUCACACACAUUUUUUCAAAACCUUGCUUCUCUUGACUCUGAGUUUGGGGAAUAAUGCCACGGAGUCCAGGCUUCCUGAAUCCUACAACUGGAGCCAGGCUUCUCUUCUCUCUGCAUUUCCAUCAAGCUGUAUUUAAAUUCCACCUAAGAAACCAAGAUCUGAAAAGCAAUGGUUUCAGGAGAAUUUCAUGGUGACCAGAGGGAUAGAGGAGUGUUAUUGUACAGAUAAAUAGAAAAUUGAAUAGUCAACAUAUUAGUUACCCUAUACUCUGCAGAAUAGUGCCACAGAGUCUUGGCCAGUACAGGCAGAGUUCAAGAUAAUAACUUAACAUUUCACAGAGUGUGAACCAGUUGUAAAAGUAAAAGUUCUACUAAACCUUACUACUGGGUAUAGGAUACCCAUAAAUGUAUAGAUUAAAUCAAUAAAAACCUUUAAAAAUCAAGUAGAACAUUGUCACCAGUUAUUGCAGACCAGAUGUUCAGGCAAACAGGCAUAAAAACAGCAUCACAAAGGUUUUCAGAAUUAUAGCAAGGGUGUAUUGUAUCAAAGCUGUAAUGUGUAAAAUACAGGAAGUGAAGCAGUAAGUGAAAGCUGAGUCACCAUGUAUAUACCAAGAUUAAAGCAAACACCUUCUGCAUUUACUGAUACAGUUCUAGAGCAAAUGUUUCUGGUGAAGAAGCAAUGUUUCAGGUCUCUAUUCAGCCUUGAGUCUAAUCUCUAUCCUACCUCAAAGGCAGAGUGAGAUAAAAAUGUUAGGUAGGAAAUGGAUUUGGUUCAUGUACAGUGUCACCCUAUUUCAUGUGACUUAGUUCUUAUCUGGUAAUGAAUUAUACCAAAGGAUCUGAAGAAAAAUUGGAGGCCAAAGCUCCUCUCACACCUCUGGAGAUGUUCAAAAUGCAGUGUUACCUGGAUUUCAUCUGAACUUUGAAAAAAAAAAUCAUAAAUAAUGAGGAGAAUGGAAUUGCUAUCCCUUACAAUCAUUCCUGCCAGAUUUACCAUUAGUGCACGCACAUACUUAACAAUGAUAAGAUUCCUUUUGAAAUGUACUGAUUGUAGCCUCUGAGAGCUAAAUCUCAGUGCCCAGCACUGUAAUUAACUCAAGAUUUAUUCAUUUAUUAAGACUCCUGAAACAAGCAUGUCUAAUUGCCUUUCUUUAUUAAUACAUUCAAUAAUGUUUAACAUUUUACUGCCACUUAAACAAGAGUUCUAAUAAGAUACUGUAUCAAUUAAUGGUCCUGUUAAAAGUCAACUGGUAUUUUUACAAUAGCAGCAGAACUCCUUGUUACACAUUAAACACCAUGAAGCAAUCAUAAGGUCUGUGGGUUUGUUUGGAAAGGUACAUUGCAAUGAUACACUGCCAAGAUUUUAACAAGCGUCUCCCACAAGACAUUCCUUCCUUAAGAGGAUAGUAAAAGGCUCUUAGUUUUGGACUUGCCCAGAAAAGGAGAAUGAAGGAACAGGAAUUCCACUAGGGUGUUUGUCCUUUAAAAGCAAUACGCUUUUCCAAAGCCCUAAGGAUGUGAAGAAUUACACUGUGCUGCCUUUGGUUGGUUCUUGAAAUGUUUUGGCCUUACAGACUGCAAUUAGUUUUUUGUUUGGGUUUGCUUCAGGGGUAUUUUUGUAGGAGAUCAUCAGUUGGUCCAACCUGACACUGACUAGUACAUGUCCCCACCCCUAUGCUCUCUGCUCAGGGAAUUCCUCACCUCUGGGAGUGUGAUGCAAUCCACAUCUGGGUGAAGGCUGGUGCUGAAGACUUCUGGCAACCCCUUCCUUGCUAGACAGAGCAGGACU